This is a long non-coding RNA of Doryrhamphus excisus (bluestripe pipefish), 1707 nucleotides long. RefSeq lists it as uncharacterized. The record is from RefSeq and is a predicted model, not a curated record. Lineage: Eukaryota; Metazoa; Chordata; Actinopteri; Syngnathiformes; Syngnathidae.
UGCAGUCUGCCUGCUCUAAAGUCUUGGAGCAGGCAUCAAAGCCACCUGGUUUUGAUGAUGAAGUCUUGGCACCAGUCCCUGUUGGCAGGAUUAGAGAGUGUCACAUGCUGGAAAAAAGGCUUCACCUUCUGCAUGAACACGAUAAGUAUUUUUGCAAUGCGGAAAAGUUACAAGACGGCUAAAGUGAUUAUUGAAGGUUAUUUUCUACUCAACUAACGGUCUCUUAAUGUGAAGAGCUGCUCAUCCACAACUGAUCCACUGCAACAUUUCAGUGGGGUGAAACACAAUGCAUCGGGGACACAUAUUGAACUGUGAUGGCCUCUUAACGUUUACUUCAGCGCCAUGGCCACUGGUCUGCAUCCAGACAUGUGACAAUCCAGGAGGGCCCUGUCGGUUACAUGUCUGUUCUCCCACAAGAUGCCAGGUGCCUGAUUCGGAACAAAUGCACACAAACACAGGAACAGAAACGCACACUAGAGGGACUUGGAUUAUUAUGCAUGGGUGUAUUCUGCACUAUUGUCAGGUAUGGAGCUGUGUUGAGGUAGAACGAGCAGCCAUGGGCAUAUCCUGGUUCACAAGCGCUAGUCAGAAAACUGACAAGGCAAAGCUGCUUUUUUAUGCCGCACCUACAAUGGAAAUGGAGCUCAAAGAACAACCUCUCUUUCCCGUAGCCUUUAUCUGCUUCUCUCUGUGUGUGUCUUUCCACUGCUCCCCCUUGUCUAGUUAGAGGGCAUCUAUACCUUCUCUCUCUCUCUCUCUCUCGACAGGAGAAACCUGUACUUUAUCACUGCCACAUAUGGAGAAAGGCAUUUUCUUCCCAAAGGGAAAGCUGACAUGCAAUUACGACAUUCUGGCAGCCCCAAACAUCCUUCACAAAAUAUAUAGCAUCCUGUUUUUUUACUUUUGCAGUUUUAUGAUGUGUUACGUGGCAUCGAUGUAUUGCACGUUGCCAUUUGUAGUUUGUGGAAAAGUGACAAAAAGCAUUUCCUCAUCAAGGAAGUCACAAUUAUCCAGGAUGAGAUGAUUCAAGCUCCUCGGGUUAACAUCCAAACAACCGGCCUCACAGAGAUCAUACAAACACACCUGUGAUUAGUUGGGGGUAAAUUGCAGACAAAUAAAUUGAACGGGUAAAUGCACCAAAUUGCAGAUGACAGCUCAGUGAGAUGUCUGGAAGCAGUUUGUUUGCCUGCCUUCUUGCCCGUCAUACUAGCCGAGCCAGCCGGUGCUCCAUCAGAGACAAAGAGAGAGGUAAAGUGGGACAGAUGUGGAGCUUUACAGAGGCCCCAGUGGGAUAUUGAGAAUGAUGGCAUGGAGGGCAGUGUGGGACAAUAAAGGGAGGAGGACUGCGUUCCUUCUUCCCAACACCUGAAAGAAAGGUGCCCUUUGUCAUACCUGACACUUAUUGCCUCCGCUAAGAAGGUUGUCUUAUUUAGUUGGCCGGAUUGCGUAAAAACUCUUCCAUCACCUUCUCCAAAGUUGGUAUGGGCCUCGAAAGUUAGGGUGCAUUCAUCUUAUGUGAAGUAUAUCCUCAGUAUAUAUGGAAAUACAUGUGUGUUAUAAAUAAACAGUGGACAUGUUACUGCCCUUAUAAUGCCAUGUGCCUUUUGCGUUGGAAUGAACACUUACUCAAUCCACCCAAGGAUUGGGUAAAAAAUGGCAACAAACUUGGAGAAAGUGGAUGAGCCAUUAGAAAUGCAAAGACAUCUC